This 617-nucleotide ribosomal RNA is filed under the name uncultured bacterium. RNAcentral describes it as "bacterial SSU rRNA". The stretch from base 1 to 542 matches the Rfam family "Bacterial small subunit ribosomal RNA", at positions 338 to 873 of the family's 1533-position model. The record is from RNAcentral.
CCUACGGGAGGCAGCAGUGGGGAAUUUUGGACAAUGGACGCAAGUCUGAUCCAGCCAUGCCGCGUGCGGGAAGAAGGCCUUCGGGUUGUAAACCGCUUUUGUCAGGGAAGAAAAGGCUCUUUCUAAUAAAGAGGGCUCAUGACGGUACCUGAAGAAUAAGCACCGGCUAACUACGUGCCAGCAGCCGCGGUAAUACGUAGGGUGCAAGCGUUAAUCGGAAUUACUGGGCGUAAAGCGUGCGCAGGCGGUUGUGCAAGACAGGUGUGAAAUCCCCGGGCUUAACCUGGGAACUGCACUUGUGACUGCACGGCUAGAGUACGGUAGAGGGGGAUGGAAUUCCACGUGUAGCAGUGAAAUGCGUAGAUAUGUGGAGGAACACCGAUGGCGAAGGCAAUCCCCUGGACCUGUACUGACGCUCAUGCACGAAAGCGUGGGGAGCAAACAGGAUUAGAUACCCUGGUAGUCCACGCCCUAAACGGUGUCAACUGGUUGUUGGGAGGGUUUCUUCUCAGUAACGUAGCUAACGCGUGAAGUUGACCGCCUGGGGNGACGCGCGAGUAAGUAAGUACAANAGUAAGUUAGAGGCGUUGAGACGNGCGAGACGACACGAGGAGAGG